GGUCACAACAGUGAGAGGCCCGCAUACCAAAAAAAAAAAAAAAAAAAGAAGUCCCAGGAAUAGUUCUUGGUAUGCAUAGAGGUCACAGAUAAAGAACAGGCCUGGCACUGCACAAUUGAUAUGAUCUAUAUGUAAAGAGUUGAAAGUGUAUGUCUUUUUCCCUGAAUCAUUAUGACAAACAGUGAUAAGGAUUUCAGUCGACACUUUGUAGCCUGCUUUUCCUGAAUGAAGAUAUAUUUUUCUUUUCUAUUUUUCACGAGAUGUUGCAUUAGGAAUAAGUAUCAAGUGAGGAGGUAUUUCUACCAUGGGGAUAGUUUAAUGGGAUUUCUUGGUAAGCUUGGUAAGUAUUUUUAUUUCCUCUUUGCAUGGGUUAUGAAAGUACCAUAGACACUCAGGAUUAUUUUAAAAGGUGAUUGGGUUGAUUUUUCUCUCUGGAUAAAAUAUUGGCUGUGUGUAAUUCUAUAUAAUUAUAACAACCAGCCUGAAUGUCUGGGUUGGGAGAUAAUCAUUGUAAGUAUAAAGGAGAUGUUCAGAUCAUACUCUUGACGGGCUGUUUGCUAGUGUUAAGCAGAGGUAUUCCUAUGAUUUGAGUGACCCCUGGAGUUGGAAAUGGGUAACAGGCCCAGCAAGAGGUCAGGUUAGUAGAUGAGGAAACAUUCUUAGAAACAAGGUGAGGAAGUAAUAUAUUUUGUUUCAGAAAAGGGAGGGGAAAAUGAAGAAAAGUAGAGUCAUAGAAAACACAGAGAAGGAAAUCAGUAGUCCAUAGUGACAUAUUAACAAUCUUACAAGGAAGGCAGUAGGUUUGAUUGGAUAUAAUAAAGUUCUAGUUUUGUUUCAUUGUCUUGGGUGGAAUUUGCACUUCUGAAGUUGUCUGCUUGAUCAGAAAGGUCUCCGAUAACCUGUUUGUGCCUUGAAGCCAUCUGCUUCUGGAGGCUUCUUUGGUUAGCCUCAACUUGCAGUCUGUCAUGGGAGUGAACGUCCAUUGGUCUGAGUUGGAAGUUCCUUUUCAUUGUGACAUAUUACACCCUGGGUAGACUUCUGUAGCUGUUGUCAAGAGGACCUGAAAUGGCUCCUUUCAGUAAUUUAAAGCAUUUUUGCAUCUAUAUCACUUAGUAUUUUCUGCAAAACAAACCACCCCCAGACUAGGUGGCUUAAAACAACCAUUUAUUUAUUUAUGAUUCUGUGGAGCAAUUUGGCUGGGAUCAGCUGGGAUAGCUUUGCUCUGCUCUGCUCCUCAUGGUGUUGUCUGGCCUUAUACGCGCAUUAUAGUCCGCUGAUAGUUGAUGGUCUCAUUCACACAUCUGGCGGUUGCUGGCUGUUGGCAGGGCAACGGAGGUAACUGGGCCCAUCAUCUAGCAGGCUAGCCUGAGCUCAUUCACGUGAUAUUGGUUGAGAGUUCCUAAGAGCAGCAAGAGAGGGCAAACUCCAAUGUGCGAGCAGUUUUCAAACCUCUGCUUGGGUCAUGUUGUUAAUGCCUUGUUGGCCAAAGCAAGUCAUUUCCAAGCCCAGACUCAAAGAAUAGAGAAAUAGUCUCCAUCUCCUUAUGGAAAGAUCUGCAGUCACAUACAAAGAAGCAUGCAUAUGGGAUGGGAAGAAUUUGUGGCCAUUUUUGCAAUUAAACACACACUGAUAUCUUUUCUGGUGAAGCUGGUCACUGAGCUAGGAGUCAUACAAAGAUGUGGAUGAUGUCUCUUUUGGAAAGGUGGCUUGUGCAUGUUGAGCAUAAGACAGUACACUAGAUUGACUUCUUACAGUAUUCAGCUAGAUCUGCAUGCAACAAAAUAGAGUGAUUGGUGGCAUUUUUCCCAAUCACAUAGGAUAUCCUGUAAUGAUGUCCUAUGGAAAACAAUCUGUAUGAGCUCUGAGGAGGUGAUCAUGUGGCCGUUAACGAUACUGACAAAACAUUAGACUAAGGCAGAUUAAGGAUUUUUGAUAGUUUAGGAGUCAGCAAAUUUUCUCAGUGAAGGGCCAGAUAGUAAAUUUUAUAUCGGCUUUGAAGGCCAAAUAUAAUCUCUGUCACAUAUUCCAUAUUCUCUUCCUCCUCCUUUUUUCUUUUUAAACAAAAUUUUAAAAUACGUAAGAAACACUUUUUUAGCUUGUGGACCGUAUGAAGAGUCUGUAGGCCAGAUCUGUCCCAUGGGCUGUAGUUUGCCAACCCCUGAUUGGGACAAUUUUAUCUUCAGUGUCUCAUUUAUUCUUUCUACCUUUCCUGCAUGGGGAGUACAGUUUUUAUGUUAGGAGAGAAACCCUGCAGAGUUCCUAUAUGAUUGUUACAGUGAAAUGAAUUCCACAGUCACUGGGUAGGAAAGUAGGCAUUCCCCAUGCUAGGAACACAAAGUCUAACAACUGUAACAUCUGUAGCUUCUCAUCAAGGAAUGGGUUUUUCCAUCCUGAAAACUUACAGACUACUGAUAGUAAAUAUAGCCUAGAGACGUGGGUAGUUGUAUAAAAUCGGUUACUAAAUGUUCAAAGGGCCUUGAGAAGGAGUUUCUGUAUUUUGUCUUGACCCUCUCGGGUUUACCUGGGUUAUGUUAGCACAGGUAAGAUGUAAUUUUACCACUUCCUAGUCAAACUUUGAAAAUUUUUCCAUUAUUUAUCUACUGUGGAACUUGAUUUGUUCCUGAUGUAGAAAAUCAUGGGAAAUUUAAUUAGCAUCCACUGCUUGGAUCGUGGUACUCCCGAGCAGUUGUCAGGAGAUUCUCAGAACCCAUCUUUAUGGAGAAAAUGUCCCUGUAAUUGCCAAUAUUGUUUUUCAGAAGUUUGGGUUGACUGUUAUGAGCCAAUUAUAGCGAGUCUAAACUGAGCCAGUUUUCCUUCCCAGUUUGGUGGGGAUACAUGUCAAUUUGGUAGAACUCAUAGUUGGGGUAAUAAAAGCUGCUUGUUAGAAUGUGAGUUAGCAAGGGCAUUCAUUGGUUUCCGGAAGAAGGUAUUGUCUAUGAGUAUCUCCCUUAACUGACAGGUGUUUUUCAAUAUCGAAUAGCUUUUAGUGAAUCAUUAAUAUCCUUACCAUUUUCAUUAAGGUAUCUUAAGAAACCAAAAAUCCCCUUUUUUUCCCAUAGCAUCCCAAAGUUAUGAACAAUUCCAAAUUCAUAUAUAUCUGUUUAAUGUUUACCAUUUCUCCAUUUGCCAGAGUGCAAGUCAGAGAAAUCAGUUCAUUCACAUGGGCAGAUUGAACAUUAGGCAAAAUGGAGCACUUUGGUAGCUGCAUGUUCAGUGGUGGCAGUGUAUCCUGCUCAGGAAGUGCCUUUAUCCUUUCUAAGAUAAGAGCCAUCUACAAACAGACUUAAAUUAGAAUUGACUAAGAUUUGACCUGGGCAUUCUUAUGUAUAUAGUUUUUGCUUUUUCCUGAAGUAUAUAAUUUACACAGAAAAUUGCUCAUCCUGAAGAGCUCAGUGAAUUUUCACACGUGUAUACAUACCUGUGUAACUACCUCCCAGCUGGAAAUAGAACAUUUCCUAGCACUUCAGAAGGUUCCUUUGUGCCCCCUUCCCAGUUAAAACAUACCCCUUCUUGUCCAGAGGUAACCACCUUUCUGACUUCUACCACCAUCAGUUAGUUUUGCUUGUUCUUGAAUUUCGUGUAAGUGGAAUCAUACAGUGGAUAGUCAUUUCCUUUUGUCUGCUUUUGUGCAGUAUAAUGUCUCUGAGUUCAUCAAUAGUUUGUUAUAUUUAUUGUCAUGUGGCAUUCCAUUGUAUAUAUAUUCCACAAUUAAUUUAUUUAUUCUCCUUUUGACGGACACUUGAGCUAUUGCUACUCUUAAUUCUGAAUAAAGCUGCUAUGAAUAUUAUUGUAUCCUGGUGGACAGAUGCACUAAUUUCUCUUGGGUAUUUUUCUAGGUAAUAGGGUAAGCAGAUGUUUAUAUUUAGUAGGAUUUAGGCAUUCUUAAUCCCCAAGAUAUCAUUAAACAGUCAUGGAUUCCUCUUCAUCUAGAAGGGGAAGUGAGUGGUGGAAUUAAAAUGUGAAUGACGUUAAGCUGCGAUACGUGAAGUGCACAGUGAAGAAUUUCCUAAGCCGUACAGCAGCUGACAGAGAAAAGCUGAGUGUUGCCUCUAAGUAUCAGGGAUUGCACAGCACAUGGAAUGCAGAGUUAGUGCAGAAGUAAGCGCUCAUCAGCCUAGAGCAGAAGCUUUGAUCAAUUAGAUGCUGCUGCCCUCAUAUGCGGGCAGGGAGGGUGGGUUGUGACUCCAGAUCAAAAGAGUUGUUCAGAUAGGCAACAGACUUCUGGUGUGAACCUCACUACUAAAUUAACACACCUAGGGCUCGCUUCGGCAGCACAUAUACUAAAUUAACACACCUAUUAGGCAACCUUGUCUUCCCUGAACGAUUAGAAGGGUUUGGCACAAUUAGGGACAUGCAAAGUAUAGAGUUGCUGUGGGGAGCUUCUACCUUAGGAAGGGUUCUGGAUUCAUGUUUUAGUACUCUUGUUUGGGCAAUCCUGAAUAUCCUCUCAGUUGUUUUUGAGUUUAGGCGCUUGAAUAUAAUGGAAUAGUUUUUAUUUUGGAGGAGGACAGAGAGUGUCUGCCUAUAGACAGAUCAUGACCAAAAUUAAGUAGUUUCAUAUUUUAUAGUUAGUUUGUAGUUACAAGUUUUCAAUUAUGUAGACCAGAAUUACAUAGAAUUGUAGCUUUUCUCUAGACGCUUUGUGUCCUUUUUCAGUCAAUUUUAUUAAGAGAUAUUUGAAGCCUUCCUGUGAACAACUCGGAUCAGGAGAACACAGCAAUAAAUUAUCUACCUGUUGUAUUAGAGUGGAUUCUCAUGGGAAAAUGGAAUCAUUAAGGUAAUUUACUUGGACACUGAGAAAAAUAUGAGGGUGAUUCCAUAAGUCCUCAAGCCCCAUGGUAUUUGCACAUGUCCUCAAGCCCCUCAAGUCCUCAAGCAAGAAAGCAACCAAUUCUUCUUAACUACUGGUUGCUAAAGAAUGCUGCACAUAUAUCCACUGCCAUAAAAUAAUUACUUGUAGAGGGAAUGGAGAACAAGGUAGUAUUUGGGUAGGAAUAUGAUGAAUCUAAGAAUCAUAAUUCUUUUGAUUUCUCUGAGGUCUUAAAUCAGUAGCAUUUCCCAUUAGGUUUAUUAAUUAGCAAUGUGAGCAUUGCAAGGACUGGUGCAGCAGAAUUAGCCCAUGUUCUUAAAAAAUGGCUUUGAAUACGAGAUCCUUCAGGUUUGAGUAAGUCUUGGGUAAUUUAGGCAGGUGUUUAUAAGGAUAGAUCUGAAUCUUAAUAGGGUCAGUAUUAAUAAGCAUAGCCCUUAGCCUUUGGAUAUGGUUCUUAUUCCUAAGCUAUGGCCCUUCUAGGAUUUCAGUGGAAUGUUCAAAUUGUUUACCGGGCUCCUCUCAAUUGGAGGGACUCUGUCUUUCCAGUAUUAGGCAACUGUUGACAUCUCUACUCAGCUCUUUCAUACUUCCAGCUGUUGCUCUCCACUGGAUCCUUGGAUUUUCACCCAGCACGUGUCAGGAGUCAGCUAAGGAUUUGAGAGUUUGUAUGAAAAUAUUGCAACCCCCAUCUGUGGCUCUCUUCUUUAUGGACUUUCCCUGACCAAUAUUCAGCCUUUCUGAGAGCCCUGAACACUGGUCCUGACUUCCAAGCCCAGCAAAACUGCCCCUUUGCUUGAGUGUAUCCUCCACACAUUGGGAAGUACCCCGGAUAAAUGUGGAUCUCAACAAGUGUGUUUUCCUUCUUUCAAGGUAUGAAUGUUCUCUUGUUCCUGCCUGUUUUUGGUUCCUCUUCAGUGCCUUCAAAUGACUGGUUUUUAUAUUUUGUCCAGAGUUUGUAAUUGUUACUGGCAGGAGGCUUAGUCUGUUAUAAAUACUUUACCAUUACUAGAAACCAGAAUAGGAGCAGCAGUAAAAUGGUGAGUGAGAGGUAGCCAGACCUUCAUUUUUUAACCUUCUCCUUCCUUCUGUCUCCCCUCUCUGCCAUCAAUCUUUCCACCACUGACCCUCACCUAGAAAGGCCCUGGACCUCAGUAAGAAGAAAGGAACAGAAUAGGCUAUUGGCAUGAAGGGGUGGCUCAAGAAUUUGGGGAAGAAAGAUGAUCUCCCUCUGCAAAGACAUCAGCUCUUUAAUCUCCUAUUUCUUGUGAGCAGGCCUACUUUGGAGGACUGAAAUCCUAAUGUAUACACAAUGGUAUUCUGCACAGAGAGGAGAGUGAGAGAAAGGCAACCUUUGCCAUGUGAUUGGACUCAGAUCUGUUUACCAGAUCAAAGCCCGUGGGUAAUGGAAACUUCAGAGGGGGAGAGGGUGGGCCCGGGGAGCAGUGCCCGCAGCAGCUACUUAGCUGAGUGCAUCAUUCUGUACGCUCUGGAGCCUGAACUGCAUGGCUUGGAAAUGCUAGCUCUCUUCAGACUUGUCACAGGAGGGUUCUGGGGCGCUGGAACUGCUCAGGGAUGCUGGAUGCUAGGAAUGUUUAUAGAGUGAAGCUGCUAGAUCACGUUCCUCUCCUAUUCUGUAGACAUCUCUUGUUUCUUAAGGGAAAAGCAACAAGUUCUUGGUUCCCCUAACAUGUGUGUAGCUAAUUUUGAAACUAUUAACAUUUCCUGAUGAUAAACUUUUUUUUUUUUUUUUUAAUAGCCAGCAGAAAUGUAUUUCUUCUAGUUCUGGAGGCUGGAAGUCUAAGAUCAGGGUGCCGGCAUAGUCAGCUCCCUCCCAUUUCUGAUCCGAUGAGGCCUGAUCUGGUGACAGCUCAUUUUGCAGACAACACAACUGGAGAAAAGCCAGGUAUGAAGUCCAGGUAGAGUCGAUGGGAUAGAGGUAGAAAGAGAUCACUAUGACGUACUUGCAAUUAUGUCUGGUGACUUCUCCUUGCAUUCUUACAUAAGCCAGAUAAGUAUGUCUUUAUUAAUGGAGAGGGGUAGUGGCAAGGGGUGGGAUGGAGGAAUGCAUUUCACAACUUUAUAUAUAUAUAUAUGUCUUCAAUUUGAAACUUCCCUUGGUUUCCAUAGCCCAGCUGCAGAAGGCCACCCAAUUAGUUAAAAAGAAAAAAGGUUUGAGAUCAUGGCUGGGUUACUUCAUGUGGACUAAAAUAGAGGAAAUGGCUACAGUUGCUUUGCCAGAGAUGUCCAACCCUGCAUUAGACUAAAAAGGCAACUUACAGCAUCGGACAACUUAAAAAGAUGUAAUAAGGGAACUGCCUACUUUCCACAUCUGUUAAGAACAUCUGGCUCUGGCCUGAGCCCUGGUAACUUUGACAGUUAGUUGGUGGCCCACAGAUUGAAAAAGAGGCAAACCCUCAACCUGUCAGCCUCGUCUGUGGAAUUUCCUGGUGGCAUAACUACCAAGCUCAAGGGCGAAAAGCAGCUGGGGCAUUUGUGCAGCUGCCCACAUUGCCUGUGCUGAGCUUACUUCCUGACGGCGGAUUUAAAAGAGAGGGGCUUUUGAAGACUCAGGUGCUGGCCUCAGAAAGCAGUACCUCUGCACCCUGCCCCAGAGGGCCCUUCACCAUGAGCAUCUUGGGGGGCGUCUAGGAGGCUUAAUCCCUCAAUUACUGCUCUCUUUCUUUUGUGGUACUGGGUUGUUGACGAGAUGUGCCCUGUGGCAGGUUGCAUUUUCCAAAGAUGGUUGUGACGACAUCCCUCAUCCCACGUGCUCGUCUGCAGUGCUACUGUCAAGAGGCAGAGGCUUCUGUCCCUGCCCUUGAAUGGAACCGGCCACAGUGACAUGCUUGCAUCCAAUAAUGUGGCAUGGAGGUGGUGACUUCUGAGGUUAGGCCAGGAAAGCCAUGCAGCUUCCUCCAGGUUUUCUCACAAGACUUGCUUUCUGGACAUCCCUCCUGAGGUGCUCUAUCCUAGAGCUGGUCGCCAUGCUGUGGGAAACCCAAGUCACAUGGAAAGGCCACACACGUGUGCUCCUGUUGACAGUGCCAGUGGAGGCUGGCCUUUGAGUCAUUUCAGCCUUGGUACCAGACAUGUACUGGAGAAAGAUGCCCAUUCCUCUGGGACAGUGCAGUCCUGCCCCACAGCACACAGCCUCGCAGGCGAAGUGCAGGCUCCUUUCAUCCCCCUCCUGAACCUGGUCAGAUAUCUUCGGCAGCUUACACACUGCACAGUUGCACACAGCGGCCCUGGAGAAGUGUAAAAGUGGUGGGACUACUCUGCAAGAGUGCAUUACAGCUCAUCUCCUCCCAGCUUCAUGGUCAGGGAUAUCACACUGGGAGCUUGAAAGUGACUGUGGUGAAGGUAUUUACACCAUGGAAAUCAUCGAAUACCUUCCGGAAAGCUGGUCAUUAAAUAUGUUACCAGACACCAUUACCACUGGUCACUGCACUUACAACCAGCUGAUACGUUAGGUCUAGCCCUGGAAAUCCUGGUAAAGCUACAAGCAGACUAAAAAGUAUCAUUCACAGCACAAGUGACGUGUAAAACUUGGAAUUGAAAAUAUAUUGGAAUGUGUUUAGGAGAACAGUCAUUUGAUUUAAACAUGAUCUAAACACAUGCUUCACACAGUCAAGUUUAGCUCGUGACAAGAGAAGAAUGGAGAUUGGAUUCUUUGCUGAGCCUAAGUAACCUGAGAUUGUCUGACGGGGACUUCCAUUAGCCCCGUGUUCACUAAAGCUUGCCACACCACCAGCAAUGGUUUGCACCUUGCCUCAGCGUCUUUGUGGAUGCCAGGUGAGGGGUGGCAGUGAUGAGCAUCCCUUCUGUGGCCACACAGAGUCCACGGCUUUUCAAGGUCUUCAGAGGAGCACUUCAGUUUUCAGGUCAACACCCCUUUUCUUCAUCAACUUUGAGUGAAAAUCGUAAUAAAACACACAACGGGUUGUAAUGGAGAAGCAGCAUACUGUAAUUUGAGAGAAGAAUUACAGAUUUUUAGAAUAAUAUUUGAUGGUGCUUUGGAAUAUUUUUAUGGUUGAACACUUAUGUCCUGGGAGCAGGACUCUGUGAGCCUACCUACUUUUACCAACUAAGCCACCCAGUUUCACUUCUAGUCUGUGGUCAGUUGUCUUCACGGUCAGUCUCCUGGCUGAGACAUAUACGCAGAGCUUCUGGUUCCAACCCUCGCAUUUUAGAGUUCAGAGAAGCGGAGGCCACAGGUAUAGGAGGGACAGAGCUGGUCCCAGAACGUGCCUCAUCCUUCUCAUUGCAGUGCCACUUCUUCCAGGCCGUGCACCACCUUUACAGGCUGCAGGACACCAGAGGACCAGGGACCAAUUGUUAGGAGAGAGGCCAGGGGACAGUUAAAAGUGAUAUUACUAUGUGGCGUUCACAGCUGCGAGGAGUGAUGGCAGCCAGAUGUAUUCAUUCGAUCCAUUCGGUGAUUAUUCAUCCAGUAACUUUCUAUGUGCUGGGGACUGGUUUAGGCACUUGGGAAACAGAAAUGAACAAAAUUGCAGAAUUCCUCAUCCUCAUGGAGGCCACAUUGUAGCAAAAGGAAAAGGAAGGGCACAGUCCUGACUGUGGCCCAGUCCUGUCCUCAACAAUGUACAUAUGUUAACUCAUUGAAUCCUCACAAUGGCCCUUUGAGGUAGGUAGGAUUGUUUUUUUGUUUGUUUUUUUUUUUGGUAGGAUUGUUAAUCACAUGUUGCAGGUAAAGAAACUAAGGAACAUGGAAUAAAAAUUAAGAAACUUGCUCAAGGUCAUGCAGCGAGUAAAUAACCAGCCUAGGAUCCAGCGCUAGCUAUUUGGCUGUGAAUUCCUGCUCUGAACCACUGCACUUGACUGCCUGAUUCAUGAGUGAGGUUAGAGCCGUGGUCUUCUUUCUUUUCUUUCUUUUUUUCUUUUUUCCUGUAAGCAGCGAAAGCCUCCCUCUUUUUAGAAAUGAACUUCCAUGUGGAGGACCAAAAAAUAAAAUAAUAAAAGUGGCCCUGUUCUGGAUGAAGAGAAUGGAGAGGGUGGGGAAUUCACAUUGUUCUCGCCGGAUGGCAGGAGCUGAUCAGUAGAUGCCUGCUUCCAGAGAGCCUCUGCUCCUCCUUGGUUCCCACCCUGUUAGACCUGGCACCCUGCACCAAGGCUUUAGAAAGAGCUGGAGUGGAUGUACGGAAAAUGGGACAACAGACACGUCUGGGUCAGCCCUGGGAGGUUAGAGGCGUUGUAGUAGUGGUGCCAGCAGAAUAACUCAGGAAUUUUCAGUCUAUACCCCGACAGUGUGUGUUCGGGGGACUCUCUCCCAUCCUUUGAGAAUAACUGAUGCUGUGGUGCUCUUCUGUGACUGAUGGCAGAGGGUCUUAUAAGGGGGAGAGUGGGAGGUUGAAGGUACACUGAAAACCCGGGGAUGCUUUUCUGCUUCUCAUCAUUCCUUCUUUUGCCUCCUGCCUUGACUAUCUCUGGCCCUGCGUGAUGGAGCCACAGACAGUGCCAGAAAGAGGCCUCACAGCUCUCGGGCUGAUGGUGUGUAUCCCUUUGAACAUCCACUGAGGUCAAGUUUUACAGACUUCUAAUGGCUACUGUGGCAGUAUCGAGGCAAUGGCCUUCUAGUGGCACCGUUAUUUCACCAUCUCUUAAAAGAGUAGAAUAAAUAUUACCCCUGCUCUUCCCAAGGAACCUGCCCAAAGUUGCCAGAUUCAAAGAUUCAAAGGGCAGUUCCUGGGGUAUUUUGUUUCCGAAAGUCCUGGAACGGAGCAGUUUAUAAAGUCAUUUUGCUAAGCCUUUCUUUUGCAGCCACUCCCAUUCCCAGCCCUCAGUAAUCAGCUGGAGGUUUGGAGAUCACUUGCCCUGGCCAGCCUGGAGGUAGCUUUUCCCCAGCUACUCCUCCAGGUUCCUUUUCACUGGCCUCUGCUUUGAAUUGUUAAUUUCCUCUCUGAAGGCACUGUCUGACUUUGUUAGCAGGUCUGACACUGUCUGGCUGCUUGCAAAGAGCAACUAGUGCCAAUAAGGUGCCAGCACUCUUCUAGGCAUGGGAGACAUAAAGGGGAAAAAAUCCUUUUUCUAACCUCAAGGUGCUCACAGUUUAGUGGGGAGACAGCCAGGUAAACACGAAAUCACACCGUGGUGUGAUAUCGUAUUGUAAUUGUCAAAGGAAGGCUGUAGUGGGAACGGGACAGAAGGAUGCCUCAUGUGCUUGGGAGAAUCAGGGAAGCCUUUCCGAGUGAGGCAACCUAGAGCUGAGACUUGGAAGGAAAGGAAGAACUUCAGGGAUAUGUACAUCAAGUUGGAAGAAAACCACUGCCACGGGCUUUGUGGCAUCACGCCACAUGCCAUAUCUAAGGCACUGACUGGGCUGUGUUACCAAAAGAGAGAGGCACUGGGUUCCUAUUCCUACUUCUCUAUAAUCAGGACAAAUCAGAAGUCUUAGUUUAGAAGUUGAUCAUUGCUUCCUUUGAAUUCUCGCCAGAACCUCCUUGAGAACCGGUGCUUUUUAAAAUUUCACUUUCCCCUUUCCCAUCCCAUCUCACCCCCAGGAACAAAUGUAAUGACUUUGCCAAUUAGCACUAAAUAAUGGGAGCUGAGUUGAACAAUGAAAGAAUAAAAUGGGAAAUAAAAAAUGGAAAUUAGCCAGCCAGAUUGGGGAGAGCCUUCAAUAUCAGGCUAAGGCAUGUGGGCUUUACUUGGUAGCAGAAGCAAGAAUCUGAUGAGACAAGUAGUAGUAGUGGAGACAAGUUGGAGCUAGAGCUAAGGUUUAGGCCGUCUUCAGUAGGCUGCAAAACAUUAGCUGAAAGCAGCCAGAUGGUAAAAACUUCUCAGUGAAGAGAGAACCCGAAAAGAAAAGAAACGAGAGCUGCACAUGUAAUCUUGAAGACACAACAGUUAGAGAGCAGACCCAGAAAAACCUGUCUUAAAGCAUUGGCUUCCACGUAUGCGGAUAUUAAUAGCACCACCCAGUCUGUCUGCUUCUAGGAGUCAUUGAAAUAAUGCAAGAAAAGUGCUUAACACAUUGCCUGGUGCAGAGCACUUAAUAAAUAUUACUCUUCAUUAUUAUUAUAGAAGAGUGAUUUUUUUUGUUUUUUGCAUUGAGAUAAGGUCAACUGAUGUACAAAUACUAAUUGUUAAUAUAUGCAUUGAUGAUUUGUUGCCCGGUAACUAUGAUUUUUGAAGUGACAAACUCAUUUCAGUGUUUGCCUUUUAAUUAAAAUGGGUACUUCGGCAUUUUAAAAUUCAUUUUUGAAGGAACCCCCUACUGAGCUGCAGCAUCUCAGGCACAGCAGGGGUAUACUACCAUUUUUAAAAAGCCAGCUAACAAUUAAUGUCAUAAUUUUAUAUUUAUCCUGCUAAUUACGGCAAAGACAAAUCCCAGUUUGUCCACGACUGUGCAAACAAACAAAGAAGGCUUAGCACCAUGAGGCAAGUUACUUGCAAAUUUGCAUAUUAAUUACUGUUUACCACCUCUGCUCCUGUGGCUGAUUACUUCUAACAAAGAGCAGACGUAUACAGUGGCUUGGAUCGUCUGAGACAACCUGAAAUGCAGCCCGCCACUCUCUGAGCGGGCUAGAAGGCUGCUGUGCUUACUAGUGGUGACAUGACCAGAAGGGAACAGUCCACACUCCUGGCUCAAGGGAUCUUUAUGUGAAGAGCCAUUAAGGUUUCUGAGAUGCAUUUUAUAAAGCAUAACAGACAACAAAAGUGAUCCUACAGAUUCUCACUCAAAUAAGACCAUCUUUGCUUUAAUGUACUUUGGAGCAGUAUUAUUCUUGAUGUGUGCUAUACAGUGUGAAAGAUAAUAUCUAUUUUUCUGUGUGUGCUUUGAAAGGUUACUCGUCCAUUAUGAUUAAACCCUGGGUACAGCACCCUGGAGUAAAAGAUUUCCUUAGACUCAUGAAUCUACUUUCUUUCCUCAGUUUUGGCGCCAGUUGCCAGGAGGACAGGGUGCUCUGGGUGGAGACACCCAAAAUCCAGUCCUGUUUUCUCCUGAUGGUGUUGAAUGGAUUGGGACAGUCUUAUGCCUGUCUAACCCGGGAAGGGACGUUUAGUGUGUAUUGGAGAAUUUUAACUUGGCUGUAAUUGGAGACAAAAACCACAUAAGUUGAUUUAAAGACACUAAGCCUGAAAGAAAUUCUUUGUGCUCACAAUUCGGAAUAAGCAAAAGCAGCCUCCUCUUGAGACAAAGUCCUGUCCAACAAAACCCCUGAUGGAGGCAAGAGAAAAAUCAAUGGAAAAAUUUUAAUGCUGACAUAAGCAUAAUAUAUUAUGCAUGAUAAUCUUCAGACUAUGAAAUCCACUUACGGGCAAACAUUUGAAAAAGCAGGGGCUGCUUUACAAGGUGACUUCAGCUUCCUGUAGUUGUGUGAAAAAUGUUCAAAGUGUAAGAACAGGACAACUCCUGUCUGUUUUUAGUCUCUGAAAGAAGAAAACAAAUACUUGUAUUGGUAAUGGCUCAAUAGCCACUCCUUAGGAAAGUCACAGUAAUAUUACAGUAAUAAUAACAGUAAUAAUAGCUAACAGCUAUCAAGUGCUUACGCUGUUCCAGGCGCUUAAUAUGCAUGAUCUCACUUAAUCCUCAAAAUGAAGAGGGUUGAAUUUUUCAUCCCCCUGAAAAUAGCUGGAGACUGAAGCUCAGAGUGAUUAAGAAACUUGCCCCAAAUCACAAAAGUAGAAAGUGGAAGAGCUGGGAUUUGAACCCAGGCAGACUGACUCUACAGGCCACCAUGCUAUGCUGCUUCUCAUUUUAUAUAUUAGGAAGCUGUAGUUUAUUUUCCUAAUGCCCCAGGUUUUGUUGUUAAGUUGGAAUUCUAUUCCAGUUUUCUGAGCUCCAAAACUCAUUAUCUUUACAUUCCUCCAUGCUACCUUCCCUAAUUAAAACAAAGCAUUAGAUUUGAAAUAUCCUAAUAUAUUAGAGCAGAGGUCAGUGAACUAACUGACCAAAUCUGCCCACUGCCUGAUUUUGUAAAUAAAGUUUUAUUGGAAUGCAGCCAUGCCCACUUGUCUAAGUGUUAUCUGUGGCUGCUUUUGUGUUACAGUUGAGUCAUUGUGAUAGUCAGUGUAAGGUCCACAGCCUAAAAUAUUUCCUGUCUGGCUGUUCACAGAAAAAGUUUGUUGACUCAUGACUUAUACAAAACAUUUCUUUUCUUUUUCCUAACUAACCUGUGGCCCAAGUCUUCAGCAGCAGCAGCUUUGAGCAAGAGAAUAGGUGAAGUGAUGACUAGCCUGGCUAACUGUGCUUAUUUUAAAUCUGAGAGUGUCUGGGGCCUCUGGGGACAAGCGAGCACAAGGACAGAGGCUUGUUAUUAGUCUUUGCUGUUUUCUCUCUACCUGUCCCAGAAUCCCAAGAAAAACUAUUCCCUCCUGUAUCCCCAGCACCUUCAGCACUGCCAGAGAUAUAGUGGAUACACAGUAGAUAAUUGUUGAAUUAAUAGUCAGAAAUAUCUUGCAAUAGACCGUGAAUUCUGUCUCCAGUCAGUCUCCAGGAUGGAGUUCAAGCGCCUUAGCCUGACAGUUGCGAUCCUGUCCCCUCCCCCUACGUAUCAUAACUCAUUUGCCUAUGCAACACUUUCUAUUUUUUCAAGACUUAACUCCUGACCAUUUGACCACUCAGGAAGGUCAGGUUUGCUAGGUGGGCCAGAUCACAGCUGGCUUUGGAAGAGGACUGAGGUGUUCAAAACGAUGCUUAUGAUAUGCAAAAGAACCUGUAGGGGGCAGAGACUAGAGGCUAAGGGAUCAAUUAGGAAUCUAUUUGAGGUGAUAAUUGUGUAGACAAGGGCAAUGAGAAUAGAGAGGAAGGGACAAAUCGGAGAGACAUUUGAAAGGAAGCAUCUUCAGGAAUUUGAUGACUUAGUGAUCUGGGGGAUGAAGAGGGAAGUGUAACAGAAUAAGAAUUUUAGUGUUAGGACUAGUAGAUUUUGUUGUCAUUGACAAAAAUAGAUACUCUCGGAAGAGAAGCAGGGUAAAGGGAGCGAGACAAAGUGUAUCUGGAAUUAAGACUGGGAUUAUCCUUCUGAUGAUACCUGUGUGGAAUAGGAUAUGUGGCAUUAGUGCCACUUUCGAGGUGAGGCCUAGAGAUUUUGACCCAGUAAGAAUUGACAAACACAACAUUGUAAAUCAACUAUACUCCAAUAAAAACUUCAAAAAUAAUAAUAAUAAAAAGAAUGGACAGGGCUUCCCUGGUGGCGCAGUG
Aethalodelphis obliquidens (Pacific white-sided dolphin) is the source of this 14975-nucleotide long non-coding RNA. RefSeq lists it as uncharacterized. The transcript is spliced from 11 exons. Lineage: Eukaryota; Metazoa; Chordata; Mammalia; Artiodactyla; Delphinidae. The record is from RefSeq and is a predicted model, not a curated record.